This 401-nucleotide ribosomal RNA is filed under the name uncultured bacterium. RNAcentral's name for it is "bacterial SSU rRNA". It matches the Rfam family "Bacterial small subunit ribosomal RNA", at positions 11 to 417 of the family's 1533-position model. The record is from RNAcentral.
GUUUGAUCCUGGCUCAGAUUGAACGCUGGCGGCAUGCUUUACACAUGCAAGUCGAACGGUAGAGGGGGCAACCCCUUGAGAGUGGCGAACGGGUGAGUAAUGCAUCGGAACGUGCCCAGUCGUGGGGGAUAACUACUCGAAAGAGUGGCUAAUACCGCAUACGACCUGAGGGUGAAAGCGGGGGACCGAAAGGCCUCGCGCGAUUGGAGCGGCCGAUGUCAGAUUAGGUAGUUGGUGGGGUAAAGGCCUACCAAGCCUGCGAUCUGUAGCUGGUCUGAGAGGACGACCAGCCACACUGGGACUGAGACACGGCCCAGACUCCUACGGGAGGCAGCAGUGGGGAAUUUUGGACAAUGGGCGGCAAGCCUGAUCCAGCCAUGCCGCGUGCGGGAAGAAGGCCU